Molecule: long non-coding RNA, 641 nt
Filed under: Capsicum annuum
Lineage: Eukaryota; Viridiplantae; Streptophyta; Magnoliopsida; Solanales; Solanaceae
Description: long non-coding RNA (CANN_LNC005796)
Source: RNAcentral
UGCUUCUCCACCUCCACCACCUUACGAGUACAAGUCGCCACCCCCUCCUUCUCCCUCUCCACCACCGCCUUAUGAGUACAAGUCGCCACCACCUCCUUCUCCAUCUCCUCCACCGCCAUAUGAAUACAAGUCGCCACCACCUCCUUCACCAUCACCUCCACCACCAUACUACUACUCUUCCCCACCACCUCCGAAGAAGUCACCUCCACCACCAUACUACUACUCCUCUCCACCACCACCCGAGAAGUCACCUCCUCCACCAUACUACUACUCCUCUCCUCCACCCCCGGAGAAGUCACCUCCACCACCUUACUACUACUCUUCUCCACCACCCCCCAAGAAGUCACCUCCACCUCCAUACUACUAUAGUUCUCCACCACCACCCGAGAAGUCACCUCCACCACCUUACUACUAUUCUUCUCCUCCACCACCCGAGAAGUCACCUCCACCACCAUACUACUACUACUCUCCUCCACCACCCAAGAAGUCACCUCCACCUCCAUACUACUACAGUUCUCCACCACCACCAGUUAAGUAUCCUCCUCCACCAUACUACUACCCUUCUCCACCACCACCCAAGGAAUCACCUCCUCCACCAUACUACUACUCCUCACCACCACCACCCAAGAAGUCACCCCCAC